CCCUCUGCAGACCACCUCCCCUCCCCCCUCGGGCCUAGAGCCCCAGCUGGCACUCAGCAGGUCCCUUUCCAAUUUGCUGCACUUUCGGGAGUUCGUUAUUCCCACGGGAAGCGAGGACCUCGUUGCCAUGGUGAUGUGAGCCUUCCAACCCCGAGACCCGCCCGGGAGGCGCAAUCCUUCCUUGCGCGGCCCCGCCUGAACUCCCGGGCUAAGGGCGGCCUCGGUGGGCCCGCCCUGCCCUGUGGGAGAAGGGUUUUAGGCUCCAGAUUCUUUGGGCUGGAGGGAAGGGGAGACAUUAAUUAAGAACCCAAGGGAAGAAGGUAGGGGAAGGAAGACGAAUGGAUAAGAAGGUUGUUGUUUUUUUACAAGCCACUCUGCCCUUUCCUCCCACCCACCGGGACUCUUCAGUCAAAGGCGGUCUCUCUGGAUCAGGAGCAUUUGGGUGGGGACGUCGGACACUCUGCUUUCCUCUCAACCUCUUCCAGGAACCCCGGGGCAUUUUUUAAAGGUUCUGGAACGUAGCUCACUGGAAUGAAGCUUUAACCUCUCCUGCCCCUCCAGCCUGGGACUGAAAAGAAGCGGGGGAGCGAGCGGGUCGGAGCGACCAGCAGAGCCCGGUAACGGUGGGUGGAAGGGAGGGCGACGCCUUCGGCGCCCUGCGCUGCGCCGCCCAACCUGGGACCCGGAUCACCGCGCAGGGAGCGGCCGGGGUCAGGUUAGUGGGACACCACUUUGUUGCCGUCACCUCUACCCACAUCGUGCUUGGGACAGCAAGGGUAUGGCAGCGCAAUGCCGUGCAUCCCAAAUAUCUGUGAGAUGAGUAAAUGAGUGAAUAAGUGAAUAAUUAAAGAAGAUCUGUGCUAAGAAAAGGCAUCCCAAGGUUGGGAUUGUGAGGGCAGCUGGAGCAGACAGUGGCUAAGGCCGCCUCUGAGCUUAACAGCUCUCCUUCCACUGGACGCAGGUCAGGGAGGACGUCCAGUUCACCAGUCAUCUGUCAAAAGAGAUCCCCUUUCUGUCCUUUCCCUCGAGCUCUCUGAGAAACAUCACACCACCUCCAUGGUGGUGGAUCUCUGCUUCUCCAAACCUCAGGGAAGACAGUUCUCUCCAGUGGCCAACUCAGCUCCCUCUAACCGCAGUUUCAGUGAGUCCGUCUGCCUGCUCUGUCAAUGCCAACGGCUCUUCUCAGGGUCAGGGUAAAACAUCGUGAAAGCCAGCCCGGGAUGAAAGUCCACAGAAGGACUUGGUGGAGAGGAGGGGAGAGGCAUUUGCAGAAACACCGUUCAAGGUGAUGGGCAUCUGCAAGAAGCAGAAAGGGGCCCCGGGGAUUCACGCGGGAAGAGUAAUUACAUGCAACACAACAGCUCUCCGGGCCAGCAUCACUGCCCAGAGCGUGGCCCUGAACGAAGGUGGAUUGCUUCAAUUAUCUGGGCAUCUUGAUGAAUGGGCCCUGCACACGCUCUGGGGAAGAUGGAAGGAAACUAGCCACAGAUUAAUCACUCGUGGCAUCACUGAAUGGACGGUGUUUAGAGCCUGUGAGCGCCAUGGGCACAACAGGUUCACAAAAGCAGAGAGGGAAACGAAAAGCAGUCAGGCCGUGAUUAGAAAAAAAAAGGGGAGG
Molecule: long non-coding RNA, 1618 nt
Organism: Leopardus geoffroyi (Geoffroy's cat)
Lineage: Eukaryota; Metazoa; Chordata; Mammalia; Carnivora; Felidae
Exons: 2
Source: RefSeq, a predicted model, not a curated record